UGCCGAGUAGCUCAGUUGGUUAGAGCAUUGGCCCAAUACGCAGGGUUGUGGGUUCAAUCCCCAUCAGGGCAC
Non-coding RNA from Myotis lucifugus (little brown bat), 72 nucleotides. The record is from Rfam. Lineage: Eukaryota; Metazoa; Chordata; Mammalia; Chiroptera; Vespertilionidae.